RNAcentral lists this ribosomal RNA (1031 nucleotides) under Leifsonia lichenia. RNAcentral describes it as "bacterial SSU rRNA". It matches the Rfam family "Bacterial small subunit ribosomal RNA", at positions 415 to 1456 of the family's 1533-position model. The record is from RNAcentral. Lineage: Bacteria; Bacillati; Actinomycetota; Actinomycetes; Micrococcales; Microbacteriaceae.
GCUUCGGGUUGUAAACCUCUUUGGCAGGGAAGAAGCGAAAGUGACGGUACCUGCAGAAAAAGCACCGGGCUAACUACGUGCCAGCAGCCGCGGUAAUACGUAGGGUGCGAGCGUUGUCCGGAAUUAUUGGGCGUAAAGAGCUCGUAGGCGGUUCGUCGCGUCUGCUGUGAAAUCCCGAGGCUCAACCUCGGGCCUGCAGUGGGUACGGGCGAACUAGAGUGCAGUAGGGGAGACUGGAAUUCCUGGUGUAGCGGUGGAAUGCGCAGAUAUCAGGAGGAACACCGAUGGCGAAGGCAGGUCUCUGGGCUGUAACUGACGCUGAGGAGCGAAAGCGUGGGGAGCGAACAGGAUUAGAUACCCUGGUAGUCCACGCCGUAAACGUUGGGCGCUAGAUGUGGGGACCAUUCCACGGUUUCCGUGUCGCAGCUAACGCAUUAAGCGCCCCGCCUGGGGAGUACGGCCGCAAGGCUAAAACUCAAAGGAAUUGACGGGGGCCCGCACAAGCGGCGGAGCAUGCGGAUUAAUUCGAUGCAACGCGAAGAACCUUACCAAGGCUUGACAUAUACGAGAACGGGCCAGAAAUGGUCAACUCUUUGGACACUCGUAUACAGGUGGUGCAUGGUUGUCGUCAGCUCGUGUCGUGAGAUGUUGGGUUAAGUCCCGCAACGAGCGCAACCCUCGUUCUAUGUUGCCAGCACGUAAUGGUGGGAACUCAUAGGAGACUGCCGGGGUCAACUCGGAGGAAGGUGGGGAUGACGUCAAAUCAUCAUGCCCCUUAUGUCUUGGGCUUCACGCAUGCUACAAUGGCCGGUACAAUGGGCUGCAAUACCGUGAGGUGGAGCGAAUCCCAAAAAGCCGGUCUCAGUUCGGAUUGAGGUCUGCAACUCGACCUCAUGAAGUCGGAGUCGCUAGUAAUCGCGAAUCAGCAACGUCGCGGUGAAUACGUUCCCGGGCCUUGUACACACCGCCCGUCAAGUCAUGAAAGUCGGUAACACCCGAAUCCGGUGGCCCAACCCUCGGGAAGUAGCCGC